UCUGGUGACCAUAGAGACAUGGAACCACCCGUUCCCAUCCCGAACACGGAAGUGAAACGUGUCUUCGCCGAUGGUAGUGUACCGAUAGGGUACGUGAGAGUAGGGCGUUGCCAGAA
Methylacidiphilum infernorum V4 is the source of this 116-nucleotide non-coding RNA. The record is from Rfam. Lineage: Bacteria; Pseudomonadati; Verrucomicrobiota; Methylacidiphilae; Methylacidiphilales; Methylacidiphilaceae.